RNAcentral lists this ribosomal RNA (374 nucleotides) under uncultured bacterium. RNAcentral's name for it is "bacterial SSU rRNA". It matches the Rfam family "Bacterial small subunit ribosomal RNA", at positions 524 to 898 of the family's 1533-position model. The record is from RNAcentral.
UACGUAGGGUGCGAGCGUUAAUCGGAAUUACUGGGCGUAAAGCGUGCGCAGGCGGUUUUGUAAGACAGAUGUGAAAUCCCCGGGCUCAACCUGGGACCUGCAUUUGUGACUGCAAAGCUGGAGUGCGGCAGAGGGGGAUGGAAUUCCGCGUGUAGCAGUGAAAUGCGUAGAUAUGCGGAGGAACACCGAUGGCGAAGGCAAUCCCCUGGGCCUGCACUGACGCUCAUGCACGAAAGCGUGGGGAGCAAACAGGAUUAGAUACCCUGGUAGUCCACGCCCUAAACGAUGUCAACUGGUUGUUGGGUCUUUACUGACUCAGUAACGAAGCUAACGCGUGAAGUUGACCGCCUGGGGAGUACGGCCGCAAGGUUGAA